UGGGGAAUAUUGGACAAUGGGCGCAAGCCUGAUCCAGCCAUGCCGCGUGAGUGAUGAAGGCCCUAGGGUUGUAAAGCUCUUUCACCGGUGAAGAUAAUGACGGUAACCGGAGAAGAAGCCCCGGCUAACUUCGUGCCAGCAGACGCGGUAAUACGAAGGGGGCUAGCGUUGUUCGGAUUUACUGGGCGUAAAGCGCACGUAGGCGGACUUUUAAGUCAGGGGUGAAAUCCCGGGGCUCAACCCCGGAACUGCCUUUGAUACUGGAAGUCUUGAGUAUGGUAGAGGUGAGUGGAAUUCCGAGUGUAGAGGUGAAAUUCGUAGAUAUUCGGAGGAACACCAGUGGCGAAGGCGGCUCACUGGACCAUUACUGACGCUGAGGUGCGAAAGCGUGGGGAGCAAACAGG
RNAcentral lists this ribosomal RNA (404 nucleotides) under Verrucomicrobiota bacterium. RNAcentral's name for it is "Verrucomicrobia bacterium partial 16S ribosomal RNA". It matches the Rfam family "Bacterial small subunit ribosomal RNA", at positions 355 to 776 of the family's 1533-position model. Lineage: Bacteria; Pseudomonadati; Verrucomicrobiota. The record is from RNAcentral.